UUGACCUCGAUCAGGUACGCAUCCAAU
Molecule: ribosomal RNA, 27 nt
Filed under: Alternaria sp. MY-2011
Lineage: Eukaryota; Fungi; Ascomycota; Dothideomycetes; Pleosporales; Pleosporaceae
Description: partial 28S large subunit ribosomal RNA
Source: RNAcentral